CCUGGCGGCAAUAGCGCGGUGGUCCCACCUGACCCCAUGCCGAACUCAGAAGUGAAACGCCGUAGCGCCGAUGGUAGUGUGGGGUCUCCCC
This 91-nucleotide ribosomal RNA is filed under the name Serratia marcescens. The record is from RNAcentral. Lineage: Bacteria; Pseudomonadati; Pseudomonadota; Gammaproteobacteria; Enterobacterales; Yersiniaceae. RNAcentral also lists the same sequence under 1 other name.